GCCGAGGUAGCUCAGUUGGUAGAGCAGGGGACUGAAAAUCCCCGUGUGGGGAGUUCAAUUCUCUCCCUCGGCA
Molecule: transfer RNA, 73 nt
Rfam family: tRNA
About the family: Transfer RNA (tRNA) molecules are approximately 80 nucleotides in length. Their secondary structure includes four short double-helical elements and three loops (D, anti-codon, and T loops).
Source: Rfam